This 77-nucleotide transfer RNA is filed under the name Gammaproteobacteria bacterium. Its description in RNAcentral is "tRNA-Pro". It matches the Rfam family "tRNA". Rfam says of the family: Transfer RNA (tRNA) molecules are approximately 80 nucleotides in length. Lineage: Bacteria; Pseudomonadati; Pseudomonadota; Gammaproteobacteria. RNAcentral also lists the same sequence under 1 other name. The record is from RNAcentral.
CGGGGUGUAGCUCAGCUUGGUAGAGCACUGCCUUCGGGAGGCAGGGGUCGGAGGUUCGAAUCCUCUCACCCCGACCA